Molecule: long non-coding RNA, 1184 nt
Filed under: Nicotiana benthamiana
Lineage: Eukaryota; Viridiplantae; Streptophyta; Magnoliopsida; Solanales; Solanaceae
Description: long non-coding RNA (NBEN_LNC002698)
Source: RNAcentral
GGCAGGUCUAGUCAUCAUCAGUCUAUUGAUUUGACCCAUUUAGACCCGACCAAAUUUAACCAACCCACUCAGUUGUUACCUGUACUUAUUAUUACAAAAAUAUUUUUAUAUCAAGCUCUUAAAUAAUUUUCCAAGUAAACCAUGACUUUUCCGUUCAUCUCAUAAAUUUGAUAUCCUUCACAGAUGACUCAUAUCACAAAACGGCUAUUAAAAUAUGAUAUUGUAAAGUCUGAUCCUCCAAAAUAAAAUAAUGGUAAAAAAUUGUUUGUUUUCUUUUUAUUUUGACAAGUUGACGAGCUGAUGUUAUUUUUAAUAAGGUAAACAAUCCAUUAAUAUGGGAAAGCCCCGUAUAUUAGCAGUAUACCAAACAGCAGAGAACCCACUAAAAAUAUGGCUAUGUACAAAAAUACCCAAUCAUCUAUACAAACUGGAAACUCAUGAGUACACCAAAAGAGAACUAAAGAUAAAAGGCUAUGCUAUCGACUUACAAAGUCAUUUUCUAACCCUUCAAACAGUCCCUUAUUUGUAUCUAUCUAUACAACCCAUAUAAGAGCUAACAAGGCAACAUCUCAUGCCCUAAGUCUUCUCUCCUCCUUCUACAUGCCCAGAUAUGUAAGAGCAGCUAUGUAAGCGCUUCUUUGAUAGUGCUCUGCAUCACCCACUGCACUUUUUACCAAUGCAGGACCACCCACCACAACUGCGACGCUUAAAUGCAACAUGAGAUGAUCUACAUUUUUCACUCGAAUGUUUGCACACAAAACACCAAAUGUCGUGAAGAAACGAACCUUAUUUGACACCCCGACAAACGUAUCAUUUGGUGCAGGAUCCCCAACAAUCUAUAGUAGUAAGAUUUGACUAUAUAUAGGCCAUCCCUCCUAAAACCUCACCCAUCUCCACAAGUGGUGUAUCAUUCAGUGUAAGGUGCUUGUGAAGCAGCUCCAAUAGAUGUUAAACUCGCUCAUUUCCCAAUCUUAAAAGUUUUUCCUAAACCUCAAAUUCUGAUAAACUUCCCCGUUAUGUAUCUUUCGGCUCUGUUGUACUGUCAUCUUUGGCACGACACUCUAAAAUUAGGGAAGCAAUACUUAAUAUCUGUCACCACACCAACUGUGUCUACAAAAAAUUAUACUCCCUCCGUUUCAAAUUAGAUGAGGUACUUUCCUUUUUAGUCUGUUCCAAAAUAAAUG